RNAcentral lists this small RNA (17 nucleotides) under Arabidopsis thaliana (thale cress). Its description in RNAcentral is "ATSL127880". Lineage: Eukaryota; Viridiplantae; Streptophyta; Magnoliopsida; Brassicales; Brassicaceae. The record is from RNAcentral.
GUUUUUUGUUGUUUUUU